RNAcentral lists this ribosomal RNA (484 nucleotides) under uncultured bacterium. Its description in RNAcentral is "partial 16S ribosomal RNA". It matches the Rfam family "Bacterial small subunit ribosomal RNA", at positions 29 to 507 of the family's 1533-position model. The record is from RNAcentral.
AUUGAACGCUGGCGGCGGGCCUAACACAUGCAAGUCGAGCGGAAGAAGGGAGCUUGCUCCUGGUUUCAGCGGCGGACGGGCGAGUAAGGCCUAGGAACCUGCCUGGUAGGGGGGGAUAACGUCCGGAACCGGGCGCUAAUACUGCAUACGUCCUGAGGGAGCAAGGGGGGGAACUUCGGACCUAACGCAAUCAGGCGAGCCUAGGUCGGAUUAGCUAGUUGGUGGGGUAUAGGCCUACCAAGCCGACUAUCGGUAACUGGCCUGAAAGGUUGAUCAGUCAAACUGGAACGGAGCCACGGUCCAGACUCCAACGGGAGGCAGCAGUGGGGAAUAUUGGACAAGGGGGGAAAGCCUGAUCCAGCAAGGCCGCGUGUGGGAAGAAGGUCUUCGGAUUUUAAAGCACGUUAAGUUGGGAGGAAAGGCAGUAAGUUAAGACCAUGCUGUUUUGACGUUACCAACAGAAUAAGCAACGGCUAACUUCGUG